UACGUAGGGGGCAAGCGUUGGUCCGGAUUCAUUGGGCGUAAAGAAGCGUGUAGGCGGCCAGGUAGGUCGGUUGUGAAAACUGGAGGCUCAACCUUCAGAGGUCGACCGAAACCAUCUGGCUAGAGUCCGGGAGAGGAGAGUGGAAUUCCUGGUGUAGCGGUGAAAUGCGCAGAUAUCAGGAAGAACACCCGUGGCGAAAGCGGCUCUCUGGAACGGUACUGACGCUGAGACGCGAAAGCGUGGGGAGCGAACAGG
Molecule: ribosomal RNA, 255 nt
Filed under: uncultured bacterium
Lineage: Bacteria
Description: partial 16S ribosomal RNA
Rfam family: Bacterial small subunit ribosomal RNA
Source: RNAcentral